RNAcentral lists this ribosomal RNA (274 nucleotides) under uncultured bacterium. RNAcentral's name for it is "partial 16S ribosomal RNA". It matches the Rfam family "Bacterial small subunit ribosomal RNA", at positions 523 to 796 of the family's 1533-position model. The record is from RNAcentral.
AUACGGAGGGUGCAAGCGUUACUCGGAAUCACUGGGCGUAAAGCGCGCGCAGGCGGUCUUUUAAGUUGGAUGUGAAAGCCUACGGCUCAACCGUAGAACUGCAUCCAAAACUAUUAGACUAGAGUGUGGGAGAGGAAGAUGGAAUUAGUUGUGUAGGGGUAAAAUCCGUAGAGAUAACUAGGAAUACCAAAAGCAAAGGCAAUCUUCUGGAACACUACUGACGCUGAGGCGCGAAAGCGUGGGGAGCAAACAGGAUUAGAAACCCUAGUAGUCC